RNAcentral lists this ribosomal RNA (407 nucleotides) under uncultured bacterium. Its description in RNAcentral is "partial 16S ribosomal RNA". It matches the Rfam family "Bacterial small subunit ribosomal RNA", at positions 30 to 526 of the family's 1533-position model. The record is from RNAcentral.
AUUGAACGCUGGCGGCAGGCCUAACACAUGCAAGUCGAGCGGAGCGGCGGACGGGUGAGUAAUGCCUAGGAAUCUGCCUGGUAGUGGGGGAUAACGUCCGGAAACGGGCGCUAAUACCGCAUACUCUCAGAUGAGCCUAGGUCGGAUUAGCUAGUUGGUGGGGUAAGGGCCUACCAAGGCGACGAUCCGUAACUGGUCUGAGAGGAUGAUCAGUCACCCGGGGACUGAGAAACGGGCCAGAAUCCUACGGGAGGCAGCAGUGGGGAAUAUUGGGCAAUGGGCGAAAGCCUGGUCCAGCCAUGCCGCGGGUGUGAAGAAGGUCUUCGGAUUGUAAAGCACUUUAAGUUGGGAGGCGGUACCAACAGAAUAAGCACCGGCUAACUUCGUGCCAGCAGCCGCGGUAAUUC